UGCUUGCAUCUUGAUUUAAUUUUGAACGAGUGGCGGACGGGUGAGUAACACGUGGGUAACCUGCCCUUAAGUGGGGGAUAACAUUUGGAAACAGAUGCUAAUACCGCAUAAAUCCAAGAACCGCAUGGUUCUUGGCUGAAAGAUGGCGUAAGCUAUCGCUUUUGGAUGGACCCGCGGCGUAUUAGCUAGUUGGUGAGGUAACGGCUCACCAAGGCAAUGAUACGUAGCCGAACUGAGAGGUUGAUCGGCCACAUUGGGACUGAGACACGGCCCAAACUCCUACGGGAGGCAGCAGUAGGGAAUCUUCCACAAUGGACGCAAGUCUGAUGGAGCAACGCCGCGUGAGUGAAGAAGGCUUUCGGGUCGUAAAACUCUGUUGUUGGAGAAGAAUGGUCGGCAGAGUAACUGUUGUCGGCGUGACGGUAUCCAACCAGAAAGCCACGGCUAACUACGUGCCAGCAG
This 462-nucleotide ribosomal RNA is filed under the name Lacticaseibacillus rhamnosus. Its description in RNAcentral is "bacterial SSU rRNA". It matches the Rfam family "Bacterial small subunit ribosomal RNA", at positions 65 to 514 of the family's 1533-position model. Lineage: Bacteria; Bacillati; Bacillota; Bacilli; Lactobacillales; Lactobacillaceae. The record is from RNAcentral.